Molecule: ribosomal RNA, 183 nt
Filed under: Cheilospirura hamulosa
Lineage: Eukaryota; Metazoa; Nematoda; Chromadorea; Rhabditida; Acuariidae
Description: partial 18S ribosomal RNA
Rfam family: Eukaryotic small subunit ribosomal RNA
Source: RNAcentral
GCCCUUUGUACACACCGCCCGUCGCUGCCCGGGACUGAGCCGUUUCGAGAAAAGCGGGGACCGCUGUUUCUCCGCCUUUCGGGGUUUGGAGAUUCUUUGGUGGAAACCGCCUUAAUCGCAGUGGCUUGAACCGGGCAAAAGUCGUAACAAGGUUUCCGUAGGUGAACCUGCGGAAGGAUCAUU